Leucosporidium creatinivorum is the source of this 134-nucleotide small nuclear RNA. It matches the Rfam family "U4 spliceosomal RNA". Rfam says of the family: U4 small nuclear RNA (U4 snRNA) is a component of the major U2-dependent spliceosome. The structure of U4 snRNA from yeast and human has been reported. The record is from Rfam. NCBI's taxonomy places the organism in Eukaryota, Fungi, Basidiomycota, Microbotryomycetes, Leucosporidiales, Leucosporidiaceae.
AUCCUUGUGCUCGGGCACGCGCCGUAGACAGUGAGGUUUAUAACCGAGUCAUGGCCAUUUGCUAGUUGCAAACUACAAUCCGCAAUCUGCAAGAUCUUAUGAUCUUCGCGAAUCUUUCGACCCUGGGUCAUCAC